Molecule: long non-coding RNA, 1822 nt
Organism: Folsomia candida
Lineage: Eukaryota; Metazoa; Arthropoda; Collembola; Entomobryomorpha; Isotomidae
Exons: 2
Source: RefSeq, a predicted model, not a curated record
UGCACAUGCUUGCAUUAACUUAUUUACUGCCAAUAACUAAUUAUUAUUAUUAUUACUAUUACUGCAUUCGUUAACCGUGUUCAGUUAAAUUUUUCUCGCCAUGCAUAAAUUGUUAUUGGGCAACAAAAACAAUUUUUCAACUUUGUUGAAGCCUUCCUUCAUCACGUUCGAUUUUGCCCGUAAAUACGAAUUUAUUUAUUAUUUUGUUUACAAAAACACUGCCCUUUCUUACUUGCAAGGCAAUUUCAUGACACCAACCACGUAGCUAGUAAUGGCUAGUAUUAGCUAUUGAUUGUCUUCCCCUUGACCUGUGUCCAGCCCCACGUCAAGCGAGGAAUAUAAUUAAUAAUACAAUAUCGAUGUGUGAGUAACCAGGAAGUUAUGUCUCGGAGAGCUAAAUCAACAAUUGAAAAAUCCAUACGUUUGACUUUUGGCCUUUCUUCUCUUGCAUUAUACGCUUUGUCUUUACACACACGUUGUUUUUGCUCUCAUUUAUAAUUUCAUGUCGUACAAUGAGGCUUGUGGAUAUGCAAAAGCGUUAAAAUUAAACCAUUAACCCAGAAUGACAACAAACGGCAAUAACCGCUUGAAUAGGAACAAUUGAAUGGGUAGUAAAACUACUUUCCACAUAAGAAUGCAUACGAAGUAAGCGGGGUGGGGAGAUGCCAUAGCUGUUGGGAAUUUAUGAAUUGCAAUUAUGAUUAUUGUUGUGGUACAUUGAUUGAGGUGGGUUGUGCAGUGAUAGAAAGUGUGGCGUGUUUACUCACCGAGUCACAUUGUACAUAAAUAUGGAGAGUUUCCAGGUCUUUCCUAUGCAUUGGCACUAUUGUGUAGCGGCUGAUGGAUGGCAUGACACAAAUAUUAGGGACAAUGGGGGAUUGUUUUGAAGGGAUGUUUGUAAACUUUCUUGUCGCACGGUCCAGAUUUGACUGGGUUUUCACGACUAUAUAAAUGUGUCGACUCUUUGGAUGAUGGGAAUGACUUACUGGGAACCACUCUGAGUUCGUUAUGUGUUAAUUAUAAUCAAAUGAACACAGCUUGGUGGUUACUAGAGGGUCUUUUCUCGAUAACCUCUGACCUACAAGAGUCACGACACGGUCUCCGACGAUCCCCAACGCUUCAGGCCAUCGUCAGCAUCCAUUUCUGUCCAUAUCUCAGUCCUGGCAGUCAUGUUUGGAGGUCUUCUUGCCAAGUAAGCUGUCGGUUCUCCCUGACACGGGAAGAAGAAGGGGUUGUUCCAUCCGCAUCAAGUCGGUCGGUCGGAUCUGCUGAGGGGAUUAAGAUGGUAGCUCACACAAAAAUUGCAAGUUGUUGAGCAGAUCGACCGUGUCAUUCUUAUGAUAUUAUCGCAGUUCACGGCCAUGAAAAGUGUGGCAGUACUCACUUCCAGUGGUCAUGGCAUUCAUGCAUCCAUAUGGAUCUCGGUGGACUGGACCCCUGAGCAACCAUAUGGUGUGGCUUCAAAUGAGUACCAGAGCUGUGUUUGCAGCGUUUGACCUGAAUUUCCCGUGUAAAUGCAUGGUCUGGUACGACAUUUGAGGCUUGUGAAUCUUCUUCUGUCACCAAACAAACUUGGCCAAGCUGGACCAGUAAUUGGUUGAUGAGAGGAGUGUGGUUUGUACUUUAAGGAAGAUGGCGAUUCUCUCCUCCUCCAAAAAUGAAUAGUUGAUGUCAAAGGUAGUCGUGCUAGUGUAGUAAUAAUUAGAAGAAUGUAUGAUUUGUGACUGAUUUGUGAUGACGAUGAUCUUGGUGUGAAUACAUACUUUUGAGAGAUGAAUGAAAUAAAGUCAAUUAGCUAAAGUCUCUGAUUAAUGGUUACUUA